RNAcentral lists this ribosomal RNA (587 nucleotides) under uncultured bacterium. RNAcentral's name for it is "bacterial SSU rRNA". It matches the Rfam family "Bacterial small subunit ribosomal RNA", at positions 338 to 916 of the family's 1533-position model. The record is from RNAcentral.
CCUACGGGAGGCAGCAGUAGGGAAUCUUCCGCAAUGGACGAAAGUCUGACGGAGCAACGCCGCGUGAACGAUGAAGGCCUUCGGGUCGUAAAGUUCUGUUGUUAGGGAAGAACAAGUGCUAGUUGAAUAAGCUGGCACCUUGACGGUACCUAACCAGAAAGCCACGGCUAACUACGUGCCAGCAGCCGCGGUAAUACGUAGGUGGCAAGCGUUGUCCGGAAUUAUUGGGCGUAAAACGCGCGCAGGCGGUUUCUUAAGUCUGAUGUGAAAGCCCCCGGCUCAACCGGGGAGGGUCAUUGGAAACUGGGAAACUUGAGUGCAGAAGAGGAAAGUGGAAUUCCAAGUGUAGCGGUGAAAUGCGUAGAGAUUUGGAGGAACACCAGUGGCGAAGGCGACUUUCUGGUCUGUAACUGACGCUGAGGCGCGAAAGCGUGGGGAGCAAACAGGAUUAGAUACCCUGGUAGUCCACGCUGUAAACGAUGAGUGCUAAGUGUUAGAGGGUUUCCGCCCUUUAGUGCUGAAGUUAACGCAUUAAGCACUCCGCCUGGGGAUACGGUCGCAAGACUGAAACUCAAAAGGAUUGACGG